RNAcentral lists this transfer RNA (71 nucleotides) under Anaerolineales bacterium. RNAcentral's name for it is "tRNA-Gly". It matches the Rfam family "tRNA". Rfam says of the family: Transfer RNA (tRNA) molecules are approximately 80 nucleotides in length. Their secondary structure includes four short double-helical elements and three loops (D, anti-codon, and T loops). Lineage: Bacteria; Bacillati; Chloroflexota; Anaerolineae; Anaerolineales. The record is from RNAcentral.
GCGGGUAUGGUGAAACGGUAUCACGUUUGCUUCCCAAGCAAAAAGUACGAGUUCGAUUCUCGUUACCCGCU